This 479-nucleotide ribosomal RNA is filed under the name uncultured bacterium. RNAcentral's name for it is "bacterial SSU rRNA". It matches the Rfam family "Bacterial small subunit ribosomal RNA", at positions 16 to 518 of the family's 1533-position model. The record is from RNAcentral.
AUCUUGGUUCAGGACGAACGCUGGCGGCGUGCUUAACACACGCAAGUUGAACGGUAUGACAUGGAAGCUUGCUGAAGUGUCAUAUAGUAGCGGACGGGUGAGUAAUGCAUGAGAAGCUGCCAUUGGAGGGGGACAACAGUUGGAAACGGCUGCUAAUACCCCGUAUGCCGGAAGGUGAAAGGGAGCGAUCCGCCCGAUGAGGUGCUCAUGUCCUAUCAGCUGGUUGGUGGGGUAACGGCCUACCAAGGCGACGACGGGUAGCCGGCCUGAGAGGGUGAACGGCCACACUGGAACUGAGAUACGGUCCAGACUCCUACGGGAGGCAGCAGUGGGGAAUAUUGGGCCAAUGGGGGCAACCCUGACCCAGCGACGCCGCGUGGGGGAAGACGGCCUUCGGGUUGUAAACCUCUUUUGUACGGGAAGAAGGAAGUGACGGUACUGUACGAAUAAGUCCCGGCUAACUACGUGCCAGCCGCCGC